RNAcentral lists this signal recognition particle RNA (142 nucleotides) under Gorilla gorilla gorilla (western lowland gorilla). Its description in RNAcentral is "Metazoan signal recognition particle RNA". It matches the Rfam family "Metazoan signal recognition particle RNA". Rfam says of the family: The signal recognition particle (SRP) is a universally conserved ribonucleoprotein. Lineage: Eukaryota; Metazoa; Chordata; Mammalia; Primates; Hominidae. The record is from Rfam by way of RNAcentral.
GCUGGGCGUGGUGGCGCACGCCUGUAGUCCCAGUUACUCGGGAGGCUGAGGCAGGAGAAUUGCUUGAACCCGGGAGGUUGUAGUGAGCUGAGAUCGCGCCACUGCACUCCAGCCUGGGUGACAGAGCGAGACUCUGUCUCAA